AUCCUUCGCCCACGUCGCCACCUACGGCCCGAGACACACCAGGCCGGCAGGCUGAGAAAAGCGAGACCGCGUGCGAGGACCGCUUGCUUUUCUCCCCUGACCAUGCUCUGAGGAUGCCGUUCCCUGUCCGCACCUGUGUUCUGUGUCAUUUUUGGGCGUAACUGGCAUCUGUGUAGUGUUCCAUUUCCUGUGGAACUCCGGAGCGUGGUGGACAGACUGUGCCGCUGCAGGAAGCUACAAACAGGCGGUCCUGCCGUUUGUGGAGCUUUCCCUCUUGCCCCCGGGGGCUCUGCCCUGCACAGACAGUGGCUGUGGUUCUGAGUUGCUCCCCAUCAGCAAUGCAGAGUCCCUGGACAGGCUCCUGCCACCUGUGGGCACCAGGCGCUCUCCCCGGAAGCGGACCACCAGCCAGUGCAAGUCAGAGCCUCCCCUGCUGCGCACAAGCAAGCGUACCAUCUACACCGCGGGGCGGCCGCCCUGGUACAAUGAGCACGGCACGCAAUCCAAAGAGGCCUUCGCCAUCG
This 524-nucleotide small RNA is filed under the name Pan troglodytes (chimpanzee). RNAcentral's name for it is "processed transcript". Lineage: Eukaryota; Metazoa; Chordata; Mammalia; Primates; Hominidae. The record is from RNAcentral.